GAGAGAGGCCAGAGGCACUAAGAACUGCUAAUUCCUUAGCACCAAGGUUAAAAUCCUUGGCUCCCUCG
Molecule: transfer RNA, 68 nt
Filed under: Polyacanthonotus rissoanus (smallmouth spiny eel)
Lineage: Eukaryota; Metazoa; Chordata; Actinopteri; Notacanthiformes; Notacanthidae
Description: tRNA-Ser (AGY)
Source: RNAcentral